GUGGGGAAUCUUGCGCAAUGGGCGAAAGCCUGACGCAGCCAUGCCGCGUGAAUGAUGAAGGUCUUAGGAUUGUAAAAUUCUUUCACCGGGGACGAUAAUGACGGUACCCGGAGAAGAAGCCCCGGCUAACUUCGUGCCAGCAGCCGCGGUAAUACGAAGGGGGCUAGCGUUGCUCGGAAUUACUGGGCGUAAAGGGCGCGUAGGCGGACAGUUUAGUCAGAGGUGAAAGCCACGGGCUCAACCUUGGCAUUGCCUUUGAUACUGGCUGUGUCGAGUACGGGAGAGGUGAGUGGAACUCCGAGUGUAGAGGUGAAAUUCGUAGAUAUUCGGAAGAACACCAGUGGCGAAGGCGACUCACUGGCCCGUUACUGACGCUGAGGCGCGAAAGCGUGGGGAGCAAACAGGAUUAGAAACCCCAGUAGUCC
This 425-nucleotide ribosomal RNA is filed under the name uncultured bacterium. RNAcentral describes it as "partial 16S ribosomal RNA". It matches the Rfam family "Bacterial small subunit ribosomal RNA", at positions 354 to 796 of the family's 1533-position model. The record is from RNAcentral.